AGAGUCCACAAAGAAUGAAAUCAGAAAAGCAUUCACCACAAGCUGCCAUUCCAACCAGACGUUCGGUGCUCAGGACUCCCAAAGGAGAGGAUUUUGAAGUUUGUAAUUCAAGAUCAAACCUUGCAAAUAAAAGUGAAAAAGAUCCAAAGAUAAAGAAAGUAGUUGAAGCUGAGACUUCUGGAUCAAAGAAAGUUGAACCUAGAGCACGUCAGAGCCUUAAAAGAUCCAAGCAGACUGUUAGCUCAGCUAAGCCAGACACAAGGACAAGUACUGUAGCUUUCAAUUUUAGAAGUGAUGAACGAGCAGAAAGGAGGAAAGAGUUCUACAUGAAGUUGGAAGAAAAAAUGCACGCAAAGGAAACUGAGAUGAAUCAGAUUCAAGCAAAAACACAAGAAAAGACUGAGGCUGAGAUUAAACAAUUCCGGAAAAGCCUUAAUUUCAAAGCAAUACCUAUGCCUUCUUUCUAUCAUGCUGCUGCAUCACCAGGUUCCAAUGGAAACAAGGCCACAUCAUCUAAAACCAAACCAGCUAAAAUACAACAGAAGCCAGUAAGUCCAGGAAGUGGAGCCGCUUCAAGAUCACAAUUGUUUUCCAAGUCAGGAAAUAACCAUGCUGUCUCUGCUGUAGAACCUGUAAACACAAGCAAUCUGCCUGAGUCCUUAGGGCCAACUGAUUGCCAUGCAAUAGCACCUUCUGAAGCUGGUGAAAGGGAAACCCUAGCAAGAAACAACAGCAGCCACCCAGAAGCUGCACUGAAAAAUGGUUGCGCUGGCAAAGACUUGGAGAAAGUGAAGAAUACCAAUUUGCAAAGACAUAAAGUGUCAGAGAAUGGUAAAGUGUCAAAGGACCAGAGGGUUGAGGGCAGGCCAAAAAUGGGAAACCGAAGAAAUAGCAGUGAGAUGGUGAGGAAAAGUAUCAAGGGUGUUGGAAUUGGCAGCAAUUCCGGAGUGGGUCGUGUAGCUGUUGGUGUAGCCUCCUGAUCUGAGUUAUUUUCUCCACUGGCUGAAAGAUGCUAUCUUAGUUGCCUGUGAUGGUAUGUUUUGCAUGCUCCCUGCUGUAUUAAUAGAAGUGCAAAGGGAAUGGUGAUUGUAUCAGGCAAUGUCCCACGUAAAUCUCAACACGUUACAAUGGGUUGUGUGGAGAUAGCAUUUUUCCUUGUGUCAUUGCUUAACAUAUGUGUUGCAGGUAUUGUACCGUGGGGAUGGAAUAGGUAAUAAUAAUGGUGGCUUGAUCACGGGAAUUGUUGAAAUUGAAGGUUCUCUUGCCGGAGUCAUAUAUGAAAACAGCAACGGGAGUUUCAAGUCUUGUGAAGUAUUUAUUAUCUAAUAAUAAAAGUAUCUUGCGUCUGGUAGUAUGUAUGAUACUUGUCAAGCAUAUGAAUGUAGACAAAGACUGCAAAAAUUUUAAUGUAAAAAAUUAUGCAAUUAAUUUCAUAAACAAGACUUAGAUAUAUGUUAUUUGAGAUCCCAGGACCCAGGGGGGCUUUUACUAUGGUUACCACAAUUUUUAGCCAUCAUCGGGAAACGGUGGCAGGUGUUGUUUUGGUAGAAAUGGUGAUGUUCAUUGGCAGUGGAGGAUGCUUUUAUUGUUUUACCGUUUAGAAGUUUUUAUGUUUUUCAAAUUAUUAUAUACUUUUGAUAUAUGUG
RNAcentral lists this unclassified non-coding RNA (1646 nucleotides) under Hevea brasiliensis (rubber tree). Lineage: Eukaryota; Viridiplantae; Streptophyta; Magnoliopsida; Malpighiales; Euphorbiaceae. The record is from RNAcentral.